Molecule: ribosomal RNA, 163 nt
Filed under: uncultured bacterium
Lineage: Bacteria
Description: partial 16S ribosomal RNA
Rfam family: Bacterial small subunit ribosomal RNA
Source: RNAcentral
UAGGGAAUUUUCGUCAAUGGGCGCAAGCCUGAACGAGCGAUGCCGCGUGAGUGAAGAAGGCCUUCGGGUCGUAAAGCUCUGUUGCGGGGGAAAAAGGGACAGCAUCAGGAAAUGGGUGCUGACUGAUGGUGCCCCGCCAGAAAGUCACGGCUAACUACGUGCC